GCAGGGGUGGCAGAGCAUGGUCAAACCCGCCCUAAGCCGGUAGGGGGCUAGAUGCGCGGGACUCAAGAUCCCGUCCCGAAGGGGUUCGUGGGUUCAAAUCCCACCCCCUGCA
This 112-nucleotide transfer RNA is filed under the name Candidatus Bathyarchaeota archaeon. RNAcentral's name for it is "tRNA-Leu". It matches the Rfam family "tRNA". Rfam says of the family: Transfer RNA (tRNA) molecules are approximately 80 nucleotides in length. Their secondary structure includes four short double-helical elements and three loops (D, anti-codon, and T loops). Further hydrogen bonds mediate the characteristic L-shaped molecular structure. tRNAs have two regions of fundamental functional importance: the anti-codon, which is responsible for specific mRNA codon recognition, and the 3' end, to which the tRNAs corresponding amino acid is attached (by aminoacyl-tRNA synthetases). tRNAs cope with the degeneracy of the genetic code in two manners: having more than one tRNA (with a specific anti-codon) for a particular amino acid; and 'wobble' base-pairing, i.e. permitting non-standard base-pairing at the 3rd anti-codon position. Lineage: Archaea; Thermoproteati; Candidatus Bathyarchaeota. The record is from RNAcentral.